CAGACUGGGCUGCAGCCCUCCUUGCUCUGCUGCUCUCCCCGUACCCGACAGCUCCUUGCUCCGCGGCACUCUCACGCAGGGCACAGCCUCAGCCAGGGAAACCAGAGGAGGCUCAAACUAAAACAUCUGCAAGCUGGGGGGCACUUAGGGGACUUCCUUAACAGCCCCGCUGCAAACUGCAAGGCGGUGGCUCGCUUGGAUUAGGAACCAGCUCAGAGUGAGUUCAUGCAGAAAGAGAAGCACACAGAAAAUCACCUGCUUCAAGCUCUCCACAGAUUCUGGGGAUUAACCAUGGGCAUCAUCCUCAGCAUUUCCUUCUGGCUGGUUUAAGGAGUAUCUUGUUCAACUUGCUGUUUGCUCUGAAUCUCGUUUUCCAACAUCCAUACUCUAUAAGGACACCUGUACCAGUGCUUAUCACUUUGUCAUCUCAAAGAGAGAGAAGCUUUAACAGAAACAAUGAAGCCAAACUCCUUGAACUGUAGUGACAGAAAUAUCUGGAUGCUGACCCUGUGUUUUGUGACUCGCACCUCUUUGUAGCUUUGAGAAGUAAACUCAUUAGAUUACCUCUGUCUCACAUUGUCAAGACAACAGCCAAGAUAGCUAAGUUAUUCUGUCUUCAUGUAAAUGCCUUGCUGCAAGAAAGAAAGCAAAACUAUGCAGAUCAUUUGGGAAAAGUACCUGUUUGGCAGGGCAAUGCACUUUACCAUUAUGAAGAAAUGGGUGCGGAGAGAAGAAUACAUACUACAUUUAAUCACUCUUCCCCCUCUUCUCCUGCCUAUCUGUAGCUGGUCCAGCUGAGAAAAUUGCACAGACACGUUGCUGAUAGUAAUGUAUUAAUAAAAUACCCUGUGAUGAAUUACUAUAAGUUCAUAGUUCAAUAAGAUCCCUAGUUCCCCAUGUAAACUGUAUUUACUGGAAUCUCGUAUUUCUUGCUUGCUGUUUUCUAUAAAAUUAUAUGAAGUGAUAGUGAUGGGAUUAGCUAAAAAGCAGUGUCAGCCCUUCACCUCCCCUGUAAUAAGUGUAGGAUGCUUCCCUCCAGGGACUAGAUCACCUUUUGCUUGACAGAACAACACUGGCAGUUCCUAAAUUAUUGGCAAAAAGCCCCCUCAGCAAGAUCAAAUAUUUACAUCUCUAUGUCCUUUUAAAGAGCAUUGAAAAUAUUAUAUGGCCCUUUGAGGAUGCUUCCUGCAAAAGAAAUCAGAAGGAUCUAUACACAAUUAUUCAAGCGAACUUCUUUCUUCUUUUGGAUAAACCGGAGAGCAUUUCUGGGAACUUCAACAGAGAUGACAAUUUUUUUUCCUAUGAUUAAUUCAGUAAGGGGUCAUGGAUAUGGCAGAGAGUGAGUGAGCACUGAUGACUGUAUGCAGAUGAAUGGCCAGGACAUCGGAGCUUAUACCGUCCAAACUGGAAAUGCAGUUCUGUGCCCCAUCCACACCUUCACCCAGCUGGGAGUGCCUCACGGUACCAGGCACAGCUGUGCAGUGGCAUCCACCAGCAGUCUGAUGCUGCCUGAGCAAGCCCAGAAAUAGAUGAUAUGCUGCAGCAGGAGAACCCAAAUGCUCAGAGGAAAGCAGCUUACUUUAUCGCUCUGCAACAAGGAGGAAAAAGUUUCCUUCUGGAAAGGGAAAAUUUAUCUUCAGUAUCUGGAAGAAGGCUCUGUUCAUAGGCAGAGCUAUAAAUAACAACUAAUUCAAGCUAGUGCUUACGCUGUGAUGUUUUUAAGCAGAGGCAGAUGAGGGAGAGAAUGACUAAUGAAAAUGUGGUCAGUAAUACUUAUUAUUGAGUUGCUUUCCUCACUCUGUCAGCUACUGCCGCAGGAGGCCCACCGCUCCAUGCACUGCUUCCUCUACUUUCCUUCGAAAGUAAGCUGCAUUGAGGCCAAUGUUCUCCUGCUUGUUCCCAGCUUGCAGUUAGGGAAGUGUGAAGAAAAUCCAUUCAUAAGAGAGAGGCAUC
Molecule: long non-coding RNA, 1953 nt
Organism: Cygnus olor (mute swan)
Lineage: Eukaryota; Metazoa; Chordata; Aves; Anseriformes; Anatidae
Exons: 3
Source: RefSeq, a predicted model, not a curated record